This is a long non-coding RNA of Heterocephalus glaber (naked mole-rat), 4479 nucleotides long. The record is from Ensembl. NCBI's taxonomy places the organism in Eukaryota, Metazoa, Chordata, Mammalia, Rodentia, Bathyergidae.
GGCCACUGAAGAAGGUGGACAGGGGAUUUUCACUUACACUGUAGAGGAUCCUCAUCACCUGACCCUCCUAUCAAAGGUGAAACAUUGGAGCCACAGGGGAGAGAGAAUGGGGCCAAGUCAAAUCCUGUGACUUAUUUCUUCUUUUCUAGACUUUGUAAAAAUGAGUGGGUUAGCCAGGUGUAGUGGCGCACACUUGUAAUCCCAUUACUCAGGAGGCCGAGGCAGGAGGAUUGCUCUGAGUUCGAGGUCAGCCUGGGCUACACAGUGAGUUCAAGGCCAGCUUGAACUACAUAGACUUUGUCUCAAAAAACAAAACAAAAAACACAUGGGCUAUUAAUAGUAGCAUUUAGGUGAAAACUCUACACCUGGCUAACUUUUUGAUCAAAACUAAAGGACGGCUGAUGGAGACAAGAGGAGCUGGGAGGCAGCACUGAGAUGAGCAGGAGGGCGUGGCCGGGCAGGCUCAGCGCCCACUGUCCCCUCAACACACUCUCCCCAGGGCUCCCGGCCUGCCGCAAUGGUGAAUACAGGUCAGCGAGGGAGCAGCAUGUAACCUGCUGCUCUUGCCUGUUCUAAAGCAACAAUUGCCUCAAACUUUGCAGAACAGAAUUCUCUGUUAAAACAUACUGGGACCAGGUGUGCAACCACAUGAGGUAAAAAGGAUACUCUAAAAUAUGACAAUAUAACUAUUAAAAUAAAGCCCCCCAAUGAAAUAUGAAAACCUUUACCAAAAAUAGUUUAUUGCACAAAAUUUAAGGAAUUCCCAAGCACGUUUAUAUUCAUAAAAAAAAUCAACAUGCUUCUUAAAGGUACAAACUGUUACACAUGGUGACACUUCCCCAGAACUGUCCCAAUCUGACCAACUCUAUUUUGUGAGGAAUCUUUUUUAUAGAAAUGAGCAACUAAGAACUCUGGAGACCUUUGAAAACAGCCCUCAAGGAUCCUGUCUGAAGCUGAGCCCACCACAGGUUGAGAUAGAGUAAGACUCACACCACAGCUAUUUACGUCAGGGGCCCUUUAAAGGAAUGCCCCAGGACAGUUCUCUUUCAAAUAUGCAGGUCCUUUUCACUCUCAGAAUCUUUACACACAACGCUUAAAUUUUUGUUAAAAAAAAACCUCAUAGAAAUAGGAAUAAUAUAUGUCAUUGUUAUUCUGUCUCUGAAAUUUUUUUUUUUUUGGUACCAGGGAUCAAACUUGGAACCUUGCGCUUGCAAGGCAUUUGGCGGAACCACCGAGCUAAAUCCCGGAAAUAUUAUUGUUAUUCUGUAGGCUCAUGGCUUUUGCAGUAACCGUAUACCAAGGAAAGGAAGUUUAAACUGAGAAAGAGUUUAGCACAAGCUUCCUGAUGUGGUAUACUACAGUGUCUUCUUAGAAGGCUAAUCCUGUCCCUUGGACCCAGGCCUGAGUCUAGCUUCACGUCCUAUUGAAAACACUGCCUGUUACUUCUUCCAACAAAGGUGUAUAAGUCUGUGAGAUCCGUGGCUUUGAUUGACAUAUACCAUGAAAAAUACUUGAUGGAUACCACAUUGAAAUAAAUUUUCUUUUGAACAUAAGAAAAACAAGGAAUGGGCCGGGGAUUUAGCUCAGUGGUUCCAGCGCCUGCCUUGAAAGCACAAGGUCCUGAGUUCAAUUCCCGGUACCAAAAAAAAAAAAAAAAAAAAGAAAGCAAAACAAGGAAUGACAUCAUAAGUGCCCAAGACAAUACUCCCUGCAACAGGAUUCGACAGACAGUGUGUAGGAGUCACAUGCACACAUGCACUGCAGUGGAAGGCUCUCACACAGUAGUACUCUAGACAGAACUGGUCACCCACAAGCGAAUCUUGUAACUCCCACUUCUGCCCACAAGCACAAUCUUUGCAGUCACGAAGAAUCUAGCUCUGGGAGGUAGAAGUGCAGUAGAGACCCCUGGAGAUAGGAAAAAUCCCUCAGUGAUCAAAAGCAGGCCACUUACAAACCCAACCUCUCUUCAAGGUAACUUUGAAAGGAAGCAUGAAGGGAGCACCAGCUUGGGCACAGGGCCUCAGGUCCAGCAUGGCAGGCGUGUGCAAAACAAGCACACAGAGACAGACACGGGCUAGGGCCAAGACGGCCAGGCCCUUGGAACCAAGAGGGCCAGGCAAUGGGGUGGGCACAGCUAGAGACGAGCCAGGUGUGAGGGACGAAGCGGCACAGAGCAGAGCCGCUUUUCCUGAAUGGAGGAGUCAGGGUAGCCUGUUCUUUCCUCACAGGAAAGCACAGCAGCUCAGGAGAAGGCAGCUCUGCCACAGACUGUGCCCAAGGGUUACCUCCUGGUUUAAGACUAACACAAAAGAUAAUAUAACAGAAAUAAAUAAGAAGGCAUAUUACCAUUUCUCUUAUCUAAUGGUACAAAAACAAUUUUGUCAAAACAAUGUCCAACUUAGGUAAAAAGUAGGAUAUAUUUAUAAUGAAGUUGUCAAGUAUUAUUUCAAGAUUAACCCUGUACAAAUGAUAUAUACAUUUAAGAAAUUACAAUACUUGCUAAGGAAUUCUUUUUAAAACACCAAACAUCUUUGUUGUUAAUGCUACUUUAACCAUAUCAAUUAACCUUCCAAUAGUACAUUACAAAAGAACAUAAACACCUUAAAAAUUCCUUACUGUUUUCUCCACAAAAUAGAUACAAGCAAUCUACUAACCGUGCACACUGGGACUGACCAGUAACUCCAGAACUUCAUUUCAGAGGCUACUGGACCUCCCUCCCUCUCUUCCUCCUAACUCCUAACAAUAAGUAUCAUUUUAGAUUUUCUUAGUAACUAGGGGGUAAGUUUAAAGACCUCAUCUCUCCCAGUCAGUCUGCAGCAUUAGGACCUUAGGUGGAAAACAUCCCAGUAAAAUCGCCUCACUUGGUGCUAAUCUUAAACAAGGCAUCUGUCUUUGAGCCUCCGUUCCAAGGAGACUGCAGCCACUUGCCUGUGGUACCUGCAAGUCUCUUCUAGACAUCAGAGCUGAUUCCAGGUGAUGCUGGCAUCCACCACAUCACAGGGCCCGGGGAACACUGUCUCAGGAGGCCUGCAGCCCACGUGUGAGUCAGGCCCUCCUCCUCCCCUGCUUUCUUCCACACCCUGUGCCCCCACAUGCCAGGUCCUUGCUUCAUCUGCCUGGCAGUCAGCCAAGAUGGACCACGCCAGGCCAGCAGCCUGACAGGCCAAUGUUGUAAACUAUGAGGAGACUGGGGAGGAAGUAAAAACCCUCAGAAAAAAGUGAAACUAAAACAAUAAAGAAUCUUUUCUGUGCAAGAAUAUUUGGCUUUAGAAGGUGCAGUAAAUAAAAUAUACCUCUUAAAAUACAGUUUUUUGACUGACAUCCCUAAAUCCUACAUGUACAUUAUUACCCAAAAGCAAAUUUUCAAAUGGCAAUCAAUAAAAAGAUAAUCAGUUCUUCUUAAAUAAUAUACGCGUAUGCUUUUACAAGAUUAUGAUUUUCAGUGCUUAUACACAUCCUAUGGUGAGAUGGCUAUUAAAAAAAAGAGAACUAAAAAGCCAAAGGUGCAAAUCAAACAUUUCUGCAGAAAAGUAAAGCUCUUGCUAAGUGGGAUGGAAGAACUGCCUGGGUCCCUGGCGCUGCUGCCCCCAGACCCUGCCCUGCAAAGCCUCUGCCAGAAACCAGUGAUGAAUGUCACUCAUGCCCACUGACACCUCCUCCUGCACAGCACCCACCAGACAGACAUCCAGAAACUCCCUCCUGAGCUCUAAACCCGGCUUCUAAGAUUUGGUCAUUUCAUGGGAAAAGCUAGCUGUGGUUUGCAAUGACUAUUUCUCUAAACCUUGGCUCUUACUCUGUUAUUUCACUCCUUUUCAAAGGCAAAAGCAAAACUUAAAAUUUCAUCUCUCAGGAAAAUGUAGAGCACACAAUCAAAUAAAUAGUAUUAGAAACGGUACAUCCCUGCACACAGCAGCACACUGCCCUCAGUGGUUGGUUGUCACUGCUCCAGGCCUUCUCUGGGUGCCCUGCUGCGACCCUGCUGCUGGGUGUCUCCCCGGGGGUGGGCGUGCUCUCCCAGGGGUGCUUCCACCUGGGUCCAGGAAGACAGAGACUCAUGCACAGUGAUGGUGUGUUCCUCCAUCUGCCGCUGCAGACAGCUGUUCAGGUUCUUGAGGGGCUCCUUGUUCACAGCAGGCGGGGGUCUCAGCAGCUCCUCUAGCAGUGAGGCUGGGACGGGGCAGUCUGGGAUCUUGAUGGGUGUCGCUGGGCUAGAGGAGCUGGCCUCACUCUUCGGUUCUUUCCUCUGUUUGUAAACACAUAUCAUUAGCUUGGGCAGCGGAUUUGGCUCAGUGGUUCCAGCGCCUGCCUUGCAAGCACAAGGUCCUGAGUUCAAUCCUCUGUACCAAAAAACAAGCAAACAAACAAACAAAUAACCAAAAAACCCCAAACAUAUCAUUAGCUGCCCAAGGGCCCUGUCAGUUUCCCCAUCACAACCUGAGUCAGAUGGGUGCUUGCCCUGGGGGGACUGUCCUGCUCUUU